Molecule: ribosomal RNA, 775 nt
Filed under: uncultured Neocallimastigales
Lineage: Eukaryota; Fungi; Neocallimastigomycota; Neocallimastigomycetes; Neocallimastigales
Description: partial large subunit ribosomal RNA
Rfam family: Eukaryotic large subunit ribosomal RNA
Source: RNAcentral
AGAGAGAGACAUGCGCGCAUAUCAAUAAGCGGAGGAAAAGAAACUAACAAGGAUUCCCUUAGUAACGGCGAGUGAAGCGGGAAGAGCUCAAAUUUGAAAUCUUCAAGGUUUUACCUUGACGAAUUGUAGUUUAAAGAAGUGUUUUCUGCUGAAGUUUUGGUAAAAGUUCUUUGGAAUAGGACAUCAUAGAGGGUGAGAAUCCCGUAUUUGACCAUUAUUUUCAGCUUUGUGAUACACUUUCAAAGAGUCGGAUUGUUUGGGAAUGCAGUCCAAAAUGGGUGGUAAAUUUCAUCUAAAGCUAAAUAUUGGCGAGAGACCGAUAGCGAACAAGUACCGUGAGGGAAAGAUGAAAAGAACUUUGAAAAGAGAGUUAAACAGUACGUGAAAUUGUCAAAAGGGAAGCGUUUGACACCAGUGUUGUUUUCUCGAAAAUCAAUUAAAAAUGGCUCGAUUUUGUAUUGCUUGAGACCUUAAAAGCUCACUGUACAUUUUUCGUGUCUUUUUUAAUGCACUUUUCGUUUAACAAGUCAACAUCAGUUUCUUUUGUUGUAAAAGGGUCAUUGGAAGGUGGCUUUCUUUUCGGAGAAAGUGUUUAUAGCCUUUGGCCUCUGCAAUCGGAGAGACUGAGGUCUGCAGCGUAGACUCUUCGGGGUUAGAUACAUUUGUGCUAAGUUAUAGCUUUUUAUAGACAACUUGUUGACUAUAAUUAGUCUUGUGGCUUACUCGCUUAUGCUAUUUUACCUACGCUUAGGAUGUUGAGUCGUAGAGCACGCAG